This 579-nucleotide ribosomal RNA is filed under the name uncultured archaeon. Its description in RNAcentral is "partial 16S ribosomal RNA". The record is from RNAcentral.
GUGCUCCCCCGCCAAUUCCUGCAGACGUGGCGCAGUCGUUGCCGCCCGAAGGGUUGGAAGUGGAAGGACUCGGAUUCAUUAUUUUUCCUAACGGAUGAUCAUCGCCUGGAUCAUUGCCGAAACGGCGGGAAUCGUGGAUGUCGUUCUCGGAUUUUUCUCGAGGGGCGGCCUUUUCAUGUGGCCGCUGCUGAUAUGUUCGAUCGUGUCAGUUACGAUCAUGAUUUUACGUGGGCUAGCGUUGCGAAGGAAAAUUGUAAUGCCUGCUGGGAUCGAAUCGGAAAUAGAACGGAUGACGCCGGGCGAAAAUCCCGAACGGCUGUCACGUCUCGUCUAUCAUGAUCCUUCGUCGCUGGCGCGGAUUACCCGCGUGGCUCUGCAGCAUCUGCGCGGCCCGCGUUCGGAAAAUGUUGAAGUCGUGCAAACCCGUGCGCGGCACGAGAUGGUGCGGCUGGAGCGAGGCCUCAUCAUUCUUGAAAUCAUUGUUGGAAUUGCGCCACUGCUCGGAUUGAUCGGGGCCGUUUCCGGCCUGGUACACGUUUUUUCGAACCUGGGCUUGAGCUCCGGCAGGAUCAACCGGAG